This is a small nuclear RNA of Lynx canadensis (Canada lynx), 148 nucleotides long. Its record names the gene U2. It matches the Rfam family "U2 spliceosomal RNA". Rfam says of the family: U2 is a small nuclear RNA (snRNA) component of the spliceosome (involved in pre-mRNA splicing). Complementary binding between U2 snRNA (in an area lying towards the 5' end but 3' to hairpin I) and the branchpoint sequence (BPS) of the intron results the bulging out of an unpaired adenosine, on the BPS, which initiates a nucleophilic attack at the intronic 5' splice site, thus starting the first of two transesterification reactions that mediate splicing. The record is from Ensembl. NCBI's taxonomy places the organism in Eukaryota, Metazoa, Chordata, Mammalia, Carnivora, Felidae.
AUCGCUUCUCAGCCUUUUGGCUGAGAUCGAGUGUAGUAUCUGUUCUUACCAGUUUAAUAUAAAGUAUUUUAUUGUUCCUUUUGUGAUCUUAUUUAGAUAACAUUUGUUCACAUUUGGGGGAAGAAAAAAAGGAAAUCCCCAAACAUUA